AGGGUGUAAACGCUGCAGACUUGGUGUUGGAGGCCCUUUGGGGGCGACUCAGUGCCGGAGAGAAGUUGUUAAGUCUGCUACUUGGGGAGUACGUCCGCAAGGAUGAAACUUAAAGGAAUUGGCGGGGGGAGGCACCGCAACGGGAGGAGCGUGCGGUUUAAUUGGAUUCAACACCGUAAAACUACACCAGGGAAGACUGUUACAUGAAAGCCGAGAUGAAGACUCUGCUAGAUUUUCAGAGAGGUGGUGCAUGGCGUCAGUGACU
This 265-nucleotide ribosomal RNA is filed under the name uncultured archaeon. Its description in RNAcentral is "partial 16S ribosomal RNA". It matches the Rfam family "Archaeal small subunit ribosomal RNA", at positions 748 to 1008 of the family's 1478-position model. The record is from RNAcentral.